GGCAGUGUAACAUAGUGGUUAAGGGCCAGGACUUGUAAUCGAAAGGUUGCUGGUUCAAUUCCCUCCUGGGGCA
This 73-nucleotide transfer RNA is filed under the name Megalops atlanticus (tarpon). RNAcentral describes it as "tRNA-OTHER". Lineage: Eukaryota; Metazoa; Chordata; Actinopteri; Elopiformes; Megalopidae. The record is from RNAcentral.